AACAGGAAGCAGCUUGCUGCUUCGCUGACGAGUGGCGGACGGGUGAGUAAUGUCUGGGAAACUGCCUGAUGGAGGGGGAUAACUACUGGAAACGGUGGCUAAUACCGCAUAACGUCGCAAGACCAAAGAGGGGGACCUUCGGGCCUCUUGCCAUCAGAUGUGCCCAGAUGGGAUUAGCUAGUUGGUGAGGUAACGGCUCACCAAGGCGACGAUCCCUAGCUGGUCUGAGAGGAUGACCAGCCACACUGGAACUGAGACACGGUCCAGACUCCUACGGGAGGCAGCAGUGGGGAAUAUUGCACAAUGGGCGCAAGCCUGAUGCAGCCAUGCCGCGUGUAUGAAGAAGGCCUUCGGGUUGUAAAGUACUUUCAGCGGGGAGG
Molecule: ribosomal RNA, 380 nt
Filed under: Salmonella enterica subsp. enterica serovar Paratyphi B var. L(+) tartrate +
Lineage: Bacteria; Pseudomonadati; Pseudomonadota; Gammaproteobacteria; Enterobacterales; Enterobacteriaceae
Description: bacterial SSU rRNA
Rfam family: Bacterial small subunit ribosomal RNA
Source: RNAcentral